AGAGUUUGAUCCUGGCUCAGGACGAACGCUGGCGGCGUGCUUAACACAUGCAAGUCGAACGAUGAUCCGGUUUCGGCCGGUGAUUAGUGGCGAACGGGUGAGUAACACGUGGGCAAUCUGCCCUGCACUCUGGGACAAGCCCUGGAAACGGGGUCUAAUACCGGAUAUGACACAUGAGGGCAUCCUCGUGUGUGGAAAGCUCCGGCGGUGCAGGAUGAGCCCGCGGCCUAUCAGCUAGUUGGUGGGGUAGUGGCCUACCAAGGCGACGACGGGUAGCCGGCCUGAGAGGGCGACCGGCCACACUGGGACUGAGACACGGCCCAGACUCCUACGGGAGGCAGCAGUGGGGAAUAUUGCACAAUGGGCGAAAGCCUGAUGCAGCGACGCCGCGUGAGGGAUGAAUGCCUUCGGGUUGUAAACCUCUUUCAGUAGGGAAGAAGCCUUCGGGUGACGGUAC
RNAcentral lists this ribosomal RNA (457 nucleotides) under uncultured bacterium. Its description in RNAcentral is "bacterial SSU rRNA". It matches the Rfam family "Bacterial small subunit ribosomal RNA", at positions 8 to 478 of the family's 1533-position model. The record is from RNAcentral.